RNAcentral lists this ribosomal RNA (253 nucleotides) under uncultured bacterium. Its description in RNAcentral is "partial 16S ribosomal RNA". It matches the Rfam family "Bacterial small subunit ribosomal RNA", at positions 524 to 776 of the family's 1533-position model. The record is from RNAcentral.
UACGUAGGGGGCAAGCGUUGUCCGGAUUUAUUGGGCGUAAAGAGCGUGUAGGCGGCCAGGUAGGUUGGUUGUGAAAACUGGAGGCUCAACCUUCAGAGGUCGACCCAAACCCCCUGGCUAGAGUCCGGAAGAGGAGAGUGGAAUUCCUGGUGUAGCGGUGAAAUGCGCAGAUAUCAGGAAGAACACCCGUGGCGAAGGCGGCUCUCUGGGACGGUACUGACGCUGAGACGCGAAAGCGUGGGGAGCGAACAGG